UUUAAACACUUUAAUAUUUCCUAUAAGAUUAUACCCGGUACUCGUGGAGGCACUUUUACGGUAAUCGAAAAUCGAAAUCUGCCUAGUUCGAAUUUUUGUCUGUCGUCAACCAAUAUGUAUUAUCUUUCGAUCGGCAAGCAGUAGUUACGAUCGGAAGUUAUUCAGCUUGAGAUUUCAAUAUGAUUGUUUGUACCGAGUGCCGGGAAUCUAAUCUUAUGUGCUGAUGAACAAAAUAUAGACCACAUUUUUGGUUUAUGAUCCAG
Long non-coding RNA from Drosophila miranda, 263 nucleotides. RefSeq lists it as uncharacterized. The record is from RefSeq and is a predicted model, not a curated record. Lineage: Eukaryota; Metazoa; Arthropoda; Insecta; Diptera; Drosophilidae. The transcript is spliced from 2 exons.